This 468-nucleotide ribosomal RNA is filed under the name uncultured bacterium. Its description in RNAcentral is "partial 16S ribosomal RNA". It matches the Rfam family "Bacterial small subunit ribosomal RNA", at positions 28 to 507 of the family's 1533-position model. The record is from RNAcentral.
GACGAACGCUGGCGGCAUGCUUAACACAUGCAAGUCGAACGGAACGGCCCUGCUUUUUUGGGCUCCUCGACUGACGACCGGGUGACUAACCCGUGAGUUACCUGUACUUGACUGUGGGAUAACUUCAGGAAGCUGAGUCUAAUACCGCAUAGGAGCUCCUGCUGCAUGGUGGGGGCGGGAAAGAUUCGGUGGUUGGGGCGGGAAUCGCGGCCUAUCAGCUUGUUGGAGGGGUAGUGGCUUACCAAGGCUUGGACAGGUAGCCGGGCUGAGAGGGUGAGCGGCUACAUUGGGAUGGAAAUACGACCCAGACUCGUACGGGAGGCAGCGGAGCGGAAUAGUGCAUAAUGGGCUGAGGCAUGAUGCGGCAAAGCCGCGUGCGGGAUGUCAGCCUGCGCGUUGUAUUCCGCUUUCGCCUGUGACGAAGCGUGAAUGACGGUAAUGGGUAAAGAAGCACCGGCUAACUACGUG